UUUUUAUAAAAAUUUAUUUAUUUAAUUUAGAUAUAAAUAAUAUUUUAAAAAUAAUGAAAAAAUAAUUUAAAUAAUAAUUUUUAAAAUAAAAGUAAGUUAAUAUUUAAAAUAAUUAUAUUAAUGAGAGUUAAUAAUAGAAAUUUAAUAAUAUUAUUAAUAAAAUUUAGUGCCAGCAAUUGCGGUUAAACUAAGAAUAAAAAAUAAAUUUGUUAAAUUAAAGAGAUAGGUAGGUAGAAGAAGAAAAUAAAUUAAUUAAUGGUAGUAAUUUAUGGUGAAAUAUAGAUUAUAUUAAAAAUUAAUUGUUAAUAAGUAUAUUAUUAUUAGAUAUAUAUAUAAUAUUAUUAUAUUAAUUUGAGUAAAUUUAAUUAUAAACUAGGAUUAGAUACCCUAUUAUUUUUAUUAAUCUAAAAAAUUAUUUAAUUAAAUAUUAAAUGUGAAACAUUAAAAAUAAAAAAUUUGGCGGUAUUUGAAUUUUAGGGGAACUUGUUUAUUAAUUUGAUAAUCCACGAAUGGGAAUACUUAAUUUUUUAAUUUUAUAUAUUGUUGUUGUAAAAUUAUAUUAAAAAAUUUAUAAUUAAAUAAACUUUAAUAAUUUAAAUUGCGAUAAAUUAAAAUAAAGGUAUAAUUCAAAUCAAAAUGUAGAAUAAUUAAGGUUAAAAUGAGUUACAAUUAAUUUAAUUAAUGAAAUUAUAGUUUUAAAAUUUUAAAGAAAUUGAAUUUAAAUGUAAAUUUAUAAAAAUAUAUAAAUUGAAUGAUAAAUUUAAAUAUGUACAAAUUGCCCGUCAUUUUCAUGUAAAUAUGAAAAAAGUCGUAACAAAGUAAAUAUAUUGGAAAAUGUAUUUAGAAUAAAUUAUUUUAUUAAAAA
This 865-nucleotide non-coding RNA is filed under the name Colobopsis nipponica. Lineage: Eukaryota; Metazoa; Arthropoda; Insecta; Hymenoptera; Formicidae. The record is from RNAcentral.